UGAACGCUGGCGGCGUGCCUAACACAUGCAAGUCGAGCGAGAAAGUCUCCUUCGGGAGGCGAGUAAAGCGGCGGACGGGUGAGUAACACGUGGAUGAUCUGUCCUGGAGUGGGGAAUAACUUGGGGAAACUCGAGCUAAUACCGCAUACGCUCGCAUGGUUACGACCAUGCGAGGAAAGUUGGCCUCUACACGUAAGCUGACGCUCCUGGAGGAGUCCGCGCCUGAUUAGCUAGUUGGUGGGGUAAUGGCCUACCAAGGCGACGAUCAGUAGCCGGCCUGAGAGGGUGAUCGGCCACACUGGGACUGAGACACGGCCCAGACUCCUACGGGAGGCAGCAGUGGGGAAUAUUGGACAAUGGGGGCAAACCCUGAUCCAGCAACGCCGCGUGGAGGAUGAAGGCCUUCGGGUCGUAAACUUCUGUCAGUAGGGACGAAAAGCCCCUGGUCAACAGCCUUGGGUCAUGACGGUACCUGCAGAGGAAGCCCCGGCUAACUCCGUG
This 501-nucleotide ribosomal RNA is filed under the name uncultured bacterium. Its description in RNAcentral is "bacterial SSU rRNA". It matches the Rfam family "Bacterial small subunit ribosomal RNA", at positions 30 to 507 of the family's 1533-position model. The record is from RNAcentral.